RNAcentral lists this ribosomal RNA (1262 nucleotides) under Salmonella enterica subsp. enterica serovar Mississippi. RNAcentral describes it as "partial 23S ribosomal RNA". It matches the Rfam family "Bacterial large subunit ribosomal RNA", at positions 1 to 1231 of the family's 2925-position model. Lineage: Bacteria; Pseudomonadati; Pseudomonadota; Gammaproteobacteria; Enterobacterales; Enterobacteriaceae. The record is from RNAcentral.
GUUAAGCGACUAAGCGUACACGGUGGAUGCCCUGGCAGUCAGAGGCGAUGAAGGGCGUGCUAAUCUGCGAUAAGCGCCGGUAAGGUGAUAUGAACCGUUAUAACCGGCGAUACCCGAAUGGGGAAACCCAGUGUGAUUCGUCACACUAUCAUUAACUGAAUCCAUAGGUUAAUGAGGCGAACCGGGGGAACUGAAACAUCUAAGUACCCCGAGGAAAAGAAAUCAACCGAGAUUCCCCCAGUAGCGGCGAGCGAACGGGGAGGAGCCCAGAGCCUGAAUCAGCAUGUGUGUUAGUGGAAGCGUCUGGAAAGGCGCGCGAUACAGGGUGACAGCCCCGUACACAAAAGCGCAUGUGCUGUGAGCUCGAUGAGUAGGGCGGGACACGUGGUAUCCUGUCUGAAUAUGGGGGGACCAUCCUCCAAGGCUAAAUACUCCUGACUGACCGAUAGUGAACCAGUACCGUGAGGGAAAGGCGAAAAGAACCCCGGCGAGGGGAGUGAAAAAGAACCUGAAACCGUGUACGUACAAGCAGUGGGAGCACCCUUUGGGGUGUGACUGCGUACCUUUUGUAUAAUGGGUCAGCGACUUAUAUUCUGUAGCAAGGUUAACCGUAUAGGGGAGCCGCAGGGAAACCGAGUCUUAAUUGGGCGUUAAGUUGCAGGGUAUAGACCCGAAACCCGGUGAUCUAGCCAUGGGCAGGUUGAAGGUUGGGUAACACUAACUGGAGGACCGAACCGACUAAUGUUGAAAAAUUAGCGGAUGACCUGUGGCUGGGGGUGAAAGGCCAAUCAAACCGGGAGAUAGCUGGUUCUCCCCGAAAGCUAUUUAGGUAGCGCCUCGUGAAUUCAUCUCCGGGGGUAGAGCACUGUUUCGGCUAGGGGGCCAUCCCGGCUUACCAACCCGAUGCAAACUGCGAAUACCGGAGAAUGUUAUCACGGGAGACACACGGCGGGUGCUAACGUCCGUCGUGAAGAGGGAAACAACCCAGACCGCCAGCUAAGGUCCCAAAGUCAUGGUUAAGUGGGAAACGAUGUGGGAAGGCCCAGACAGCCAGGAUGUUGGCUUAGAAGCAGCCAUCAUUUAAAGAAAGCGUAAUAGCUCACUGGUCGAGUCGGCCUGCGCGGAAGAUGUAACGGGGCUAAACCAUGCACCGAAGCUGCGGCAGCGAACGUAUCACUUAAAGCGAUUCAGCGGGUUACGAUUGACGGAGCGAAGCGACGUCAAAGCGUAUACAAAGUCGAGUCGGUUUAAGGAUACGUUCG